This 407-nucleotide ribosomal RNA is filed under the name uncultured prokaryote. Its description in RNAcentral is "bacterial SSU rRNA". It matches the Rfam family "Bacterial small subunit ribosomal RNA", at positions 355 to 774 of the family's 1533-position model. The record is from RNAcentral.
UGGGGAAUAUUGCACAAUGGGCGCAAGCCUGAUGCAGCGACGCCGCGUGAGGGAUGACGGCCUUCGGGUUGUAAACCUCUUUCAAUAGGGACGAAGCGCAAGUGACGGUACCUAUAGAAGAAGCACCGGCCAACUACGUGCCAGCAGCCGCGGUAAUACGUAGGGUGCGAGCGUUGUCCGGAAUUACUGGGCGUAAAGAGCUCGUAGGUGGUUUGUCGCGUUGUUCGUGAAAACUCACAGCUUAACUGUGGGCGUGCGGGCGAUACGGGCAGACUAGAGUACUGCAGGGGAGACUGGAAUUCCUGGUGUAGCGGUGGAAUGCGCAGAUAUCAGGAGGAACACCGGUGGCGAAGGCGGGUCUCUGGGCAGUAACUGACGCUGAGGAGCGAAAGCGUGGGGAGCGAACA